RNAcentral lists this long non-coding RNA (340 nucleotides) under Rattus norvegicus (Norway rat). RNAcentral's name for it is "long non-coding RNA NONRATT033042". Lineage: Eukaryota; Metazoa; Chordata; Mammalia; Rodentia; Muridae. The record is from RNAcentral.
GUAUAAUCUAAUCUCUUCAGAAAGUGCUGUGUUGUGUCUGGAAACCUGGCCAAAGCCUACAUACAUCCUGCCUCAGCUUUCCUGAUCUUCGGGUUAAAGCAUCACUGAUUUGUGACUUAUACGGUGCCCUGGCUUCAAGAAGAUCUUUCUCAGUUAUCUUUCUCUUCCAAUGAUAAGAAAUUCUCCUGCAUUAUACAGGAACGACUGCAGAUGCAUUACCACAACUUUGCAGAAAUCUUCCUAAUCUGAAAAACAAACCACAUUUAAUUUAUCAGGUAAGAAUACAAAUCUUUCAAACCAAUGCACCCAAGUAUAUUUCCUGUUUAGACACAAUUGGCCA